AGCGGCUGCCGGGAGCGGACGUCAAAUCCGUCUCUGCGUUUUGAGCUUUCCGUUUUGUACGUGAGCGUCUCCAGUCAACAGUCGCACACGCCCAGCGCCUGGGGGGUCUCAACGCACGUUAGCGUCGCCUCCCCUGCGCCUCCCACCGCGGUUUGACGUCUCGAGACCCAUCUUGCCUGGGACAGAAGCGCAGAGGAGGCAAGUCCAGGAGUCAAGAAUGACUCUUUCUCAGGUAAAGUCGUAUCUGGGUUCCUUGUUCUGUCCUCUGUGUCCUGCACUACCACUGGGCCAUGCUCAUCUCACUCUGAAGCGUCCCUCCUGACAUGCUUGCUCACGUUCACCCCAGGACCUUAUCUGAGCCCCUCUAUCUCCACGCAGAUUCCAGCUCAUACUUGAACUGUAUGUGUAUUUAAUGGAGAUUGAGUCGCUUGUUACUAUUUUUGAAUAUUUUUUUGCAAGAGGCUGCCUGAUUGACUCAGUAGGUAGAUCAAGUGAGUCUUGAUCUGGAGGUUCGAGCCAGACUUUGGGAGUGUGAUUACUUAGAUUUUUUUUUCUUCACAGUGUUGUUUUUGUAAGCAGGCUUAACAUUACAAUUUUAUUUACCUGUAAUGCAAUUCAUACGUGUUUAUUGUACCAGAAAUGCUGAAAUGCACAUGAGUAAAAAUGAUAUAGAGAAUGAAGAUUUACCUAUAAAAAGAUGUUACUUAAAGACCGUUAAUUUGACUUCGUUUUUUUUCAGUGUGUGUGUUGUAGGUGCACACGUGUGUGAGCAGGAGCCUGUGGUGUGUAUAAAACACCGUGUCAUUUCAGAAAUAAGUUUGAUAUUUAUUUCAACUUUGAAGGUAUGUCUGACAUGUUUUCCAUGGCCUUAAAUUUUUUUCUACACCAUCACCUAAAUGAGGUAACAGCAGUAUGAAUCCUGUGUGUGCACAUGUGCCUGUUGCAGACAAAUAUAUUUAUCUUUAUCCGGGUUUAAGUUUCAGCCAUUAACUUGUUUCAUAUUUUCUCCAUUAGGAAGCUCUCUGUCAACAGACUUUUACCGUGUGUCCAUUACAUUCCUGUGAGGCCCUGUGGGUUCCAUGCUAAAGCCUGACCACUUGUUUAGGGACAGGCUCUGCCAUUUAUUACCUGAUUGACUGAUGCAGGUUCCUUAGCGUGUGUGUGUGAGUUGGGUCCUGUGUAAGAUGGGAACCACUACUAAUUUAAUUGGAUGCUAUGUUCUUCUACAAGUAGGGUGAUGUGUACCAUAUGAGAAGUGUUUGAAACUUUGAAUAGAUUCUAUUGUCAUCAGCUUCUCAUUUUUUCCAGUUUCACUUUUCAUUGAUGCUAUUUGGACUUGGUCAUCCCUAAAGACACUACUCGUGCUCUAAGUCUUGGAGAAAUUGUUAUAUGGUGUAUACAACAUACUGUCUAGAACUUGCAUAUAGUCUACCAUUUGUUGACGUUUUUCAUUUUUGAAUUUUAUCUGGCACAAUAUUGUAAAAUUCUUCGUAGUUUAGCUGAUGGAAAUUCUCUGAUGGAAAGUGUAACAAAGCAAAAUCAGGGACUUAUGACUUGCUCAAAAUGAUGUGUCUUAUCCAAUUACUCAUUUAUAAUUAACUCUUAUACCUCUCUGCUCCUCUCAUUUUUCUGAAAGAAGUACUCUCCUGAUGGCCUCUUGGUGAAAUGUGCUUUCAUUUCAGGAACUGUUGACAUUCAGGGAUGUGGCCAUAGAGUUCUCUCAGGAGGAGCGGGAGUGCCUGGACCCCGCUCAGAGGGCCUGGUACAGGGACGUGAUGUUGGAGAACUACAGGACCCUGGUCUCCCUGGCUGUCCAGGAACUGGGAUUGGUU
Felis catus (domestic cat) is the source of this 1832-nucleotide long non-coding RNA. RefSeq lists it as uncharacterized. NCBI's taxonomy places the organism in Eukaryota, Metazoa, Chordata, Mammalia, Carnivora, Felidae. The transcript is spliced from 3 exons. The record is from RefSeq and is a predicted model, not a curated record.